RNAcentral lists this unclassified non-coding RNA (238 nucleotides) under uncultured Hypholoma. Its description in RNAcentral is "sequence contains ITS1". The record is from RNAcentral. Lineage: Eukaryota; Fungi; Basidiomycota; Agaricomycetes; Agaricales; Strophariaceae.
UUGAAUAAAUCUGGCUUGGUUGAUGCUGGUCUUUUCGAAGACAUGUGCACACCUUGUCAUCUUUAUAUCUCCACCUGUGCACCUCUUGUAGGCCUGGAUUCAACUUUCCGAGGAAACUCGGUUGUGAGGAAUUGCUUAAUAGGCUUUCCUUGUUCGUUUCCAGGGCUAUGUUUUCAUAUACACCUUAUGAAUGUAACAGAAUGUCAUUAUUAGGCUUAAUUGUCUUAUAAACUAUAUA